Brassica napus (rape) is the source of this 4573-nucleotide long non-coding RNA. RefSeq lists it as uncharacterized. NCBI's taxonomy places the organism in Eukaryota, Viridiplantae, Streptophyta, Magnoliopsida, Brassicales, Brassicaceae. The record is from RefSeq and is a predicted model, not a curated record. The transcript has 2 exons.
AAUUUUUCUUAAACAUUAAGUAGAUUUAAUUGAGUAUAUGUUAAUGUGUAAUUUUUUAUUGUAAAGUUAUAUUUUAAAUAAUGCAGUUUUAAACUGGUCUUGAACAAUAUUUUUUAUUUUUGGAAUUUUAUUAGUUAUAAAUUUUAUAAGUGAUUGUAAAAUUUCAAAAAUUCAAAAACUCAAAAACUCCAAUAUAAACCCAAAUUUAAAAAAACCGUUUAAGCAAUAAGAAAAUAAUUGGACUAGAUUAAAAUCAAACUAGAAUUUUAGAAACAAAUAUCAUCGCCAAGUUAAAUCUAUAUAUAAUAGCAAACCUGUUUUUUUUAAGCCAUGAUGUUAUCCUUUUAUUAUAGGAAAAAAAAUCAAAAUCUAAGGGUGAGAAUGGUUUUGAGAAUAUAAUCCAACGGAUACAAUUUUAUUUAAGAUGAAGGGAAUGACGCCAUGACUCACAUUAGCAAUCGACGCCUCCAUCGCAUCUCCUCAAAAGCGUCCCAAAAAAAAAUUGCAGAAAUUAUUUCCAAGGGUUGCAUUUGUUUCACACACAGCUUUUGUAACGACCCAAAUUCUGGCUCAAAGAAUUCAGGCCGAGGCCCAAAACUUUUUUCAGAAGCCCAAAGUAUUUUGUUAUAAAAACUCACUUCUAUCUACUUUGGUUACUCAGAAACUUCAUACAAAAAAAAGAGUUAGAGAGAGGGUGAGCUAAGAGAAGAAGUGUGAUUAUUUUUACAGUGGGUCGCCGGAGCUCGUCGCCGGAGCAACCGUGUGCCCUGAUCACGUUCAGCUCGACACCACCGUUCGCAACCCUAGGUAACCACCGCAAAGCCGUCAUGCAUUUAGUUCAGUUUCGGCUGUUUUAGUAAAUCGAUCAUAUCUUCCUCACCGUUGAGAAUCUCGUGCAUGCAAGACCACCAUCGUGUUCCUCUCGGCGAGACAAAGCCGUAGACACCAACCACGCCGCAAUCCGAGCCCGUACGAAGCCGCUAGAGCCUCCCGAAGUUUCGCAUCCGUGCGCUCGAACACACGCACCGCCGCAGUCCGUCGGAGUCACCGCGCAUUCCGGCCACGCGCCGCCGUCUCCGACCGCAGUCGCUGGAGCCGCCGUGCUCGGCCACCGUCGGGAAGCCGCCGUCGCAUCGCCGCCGUACCUUCGCCGCCGCCGGUAACUUUCCCGAUAAGCCACCGCCCCUCUUCCAUCGCCGCCGGUGACCUGAGCCGGUGACUCGGCUGAGUCGACUCGGUGAGUCAACUGGUGACUCGGUCAACCGGUGGUUUGACUGGUUUAAUUGGUUUAAAUCUAUUUUGGUCUGGUUAGGUUAAACCGGUUGGUUAUUGAAAAUUGAUUUUGGUUAGAAGUAAACCGAUUAAUUAGGAUCUGGUUCAAUUGAAUUUGAAAUCGGUUAGGGUAACCGAUCGGUUAGGUCAAAUUGAUUUUUGGUCAAGAGUUGACCGGAUUGACCUUUGAUCAGUGAGUUGACUUUUCUCUAGACAUUGACCAGACCCGUUUUAAACCGUUCGAAAGGCGUUCUGCCUCGAUUUUUCGCCCUGAUUUCAGAUUUGGAGUCUAUUUGAGCAUCUAGAGUUCAUAGAUACCACUUCUUCUUGUUACUAAGGUGAGGGCUUCUCCGUUUAAAUCUCGAACUAGUUUAGUACUACCGUUAUGGAAAGUUCAGUUUCGAAACAUGAUCCGUCUCUGUGAAUCGAGUCUGUUUGAGUCUUGCUUGUUUAUUAUUAUUAUUGAUUGUUAAACCGGAAAUAUGAUAAUAGAGGAUUCAACGGUUGAUUGAAAUGAUUGAUGUUAAGAAUUGUUACAUAUAUGAAUAUAUAUAUAUGCGAGUCCAAGUGUGGAGAUUUGCGGGGUGCAGAGACGUCUGCACUGGCUGCCAUGUUUGUGGAGAUUAACGGGGGUACAGAGACGUUUGUACUUACGACGUCUUAGAGAUUUGCGGGGUGCAGCGUGGACUAUUGUGCUAGCGACGCACGUAGAGUUAUAUAUGUAUAUCCUUAUGAGGAGAAUGCAGGGUGCAGAGAAUAACUAUGUACUAACAUCGCAUUGUUUGUCGUUGUAUGGUGCAAUAGGCAUAUGAUUGUUCUGUGUGGUGUAACAGGCACUGUGAUUGUCUCAUGCUAGAGCUAGGCAUACAUAGUUGUAGUGCUAUGAACUGAAUCAGUGGUUUACGGUUUAGCAUCUCAUACCUUACUGGGCGAUUCCCCUGUCGCUCACCCCUCCUUCUUUCCCCCUUUCAGGUGAGACCGACGAGCCUGAGUGAUUUUUGGACCGGUGCUAUUGGGCUUUUGGGAAACAAUCGUUUUAUCGUGUUUAUCGUUAUCGGGCCUCUAGGCCUUCGGGCUUCUAUCGUUUAUGUUAUUUCCUAUUUCAGACUUCCGGAUUUAUGUCGUUUUUAUAUUUCGGAAUUAUGUUUUCUUUAUAUAUUUCGGACUUAUGUUGUUAUCAGUACUUUCAUUUUGACUUAUGGUAUCGUAUUGACUUUUAUAUUAUGAUAUGGAGAUUAUUAUUAUUAUUCUUUCGGUUUUAUUUAAUUAUUAUAUCCCGGGAAAAUCAGGUGUCACAGCUUUAUUGUUUAAGAGUUGUAUCUCUUCAGAAGUUUAUAUAUUGAAGCGGUUUUGCGAAGUUUACAUAUUACGAAUCCAACGUAACGGGGAACGAUAGGCUAGGGAAGCAUCGGUGGUUUAUCGAAGCAGGAUCUCUUCUUGUGGUUUCCGGUUAAAGGGAUCAGUGUGGACAUACCUUGCUCUGGCGAUAUAUAUUUCGAUGUCAGAGUUGUUCACAAGCGGUUCCAUGUCUUUGUUUGAGACUCUGAGAAAUUGUGUCGCUGUUGGAAGGAGGUUGAGUUUCGUGGGGACAGCAAGGUUAUGUAAUACAUUCGUGUAACUUUUCAUUUCAAAGCUCCGAUGUGAUGACGUAGCUCAGCUCAGCGAUGACCAACCACGACACUUUUACGGAUGGGUUCGAAGGUGUCGGCAACGGAGAAUGGAAGGACCGAGUGGUCGGAGCGGUGAGCAACUGUUUGGCGUUAUUCUUCGGCAGCGUCAAUGAUUUGAACGGAGUUACGGUCGUGAACAGAAAGUUACUUGGCGUAGAAGAAACAGAGGAGUUUCCGAGUUGGUUAAAGAGAGUAGACAGAGAGCUUCUCGGUACUCCGACGAUGGCGAUUCAAGCAGAUAUCACGGUGUCGAAAGACGGUAGUGGCACGGUUAAGACAAUCGCAGAGGCGAUCAAGAAAGCGCCGGAGCAAAUUAGCCGACGAUUCGUCAUCGACGUCAAGGCAUGAAGGUACGAAGAAGAAAAUCUCAAGGUUGGUAAGAAAAAAAAACAAACUUAAUGUUCAUCGGAGACGGCAAGGGUAAAACGGUCAAAAGUAUAUUAAGGUUCAUUGUUAAAUAUGCAUGUAGGAAAUGAGUGACUUUGUUAUACUAAUGUGUAUAUCCAUCUUGGGUUUUGUAUGCAGAUUCAAUCAUCUACGUUGCAAUUCUAUUAAGUAGAUCAAAGUGUUGAGAGAAACAUUGUAAGGGUUGACUAAUGGGUUUACAGUACAAGUUAGAAACUUUUAGCUGCUCAUGGUUUUCUGAAGACACUGACAGACAGACACACACUCCUUCCAUUUGAGGUUAGAUGCUCCUUUCUUCCCCCAAAUUGCUUUGAUCACUCUGUUUGAAGUGGAAAUGAUGAGAGAGUCUUCUGCGCAAGUUUAGAUGGGAAGAACAAGUAUUGGAUGGUUUUGUUUGAAAUUUCCAGAUUCAUCAUAUCACACGUGGACAUCGUGUGGUGUAAUUGAUCAUUCAAGAUUAAUGGUACCUUUCAAACGUUGUAACUAAGCGUAUAUUAUUAGGACAUCCAUAAAAAGGAAACCUCUGAUGUUAGCUAUAUGACGAUAAAUGUUUUGGAAUAGAAUAAAUAUUCAAGAAGAAGCAAAUGAGAAACAAGAAGAGAAAAAGGAUAGAGCACGUGUAGUAGAAUUAUGGAGUCGGAGUCGGAGCCAGCGAAAGAGGUUAUCACCGUGAUGGAUAAGCGUUGGGGGUGAGAGAUAUAAGGUUGUUGCCGUUAUAGCAUGAUGGUGUGGUUGUCAGAACGAGAUCAGAGCUAAGGCGAGAAGAAAACAAAGGUGGAGAAGAGGAAAAAGAGCACAGUUCUGAGAUUGGUUGUUGAGAGGAGGAUUUCGUUGAUAUUUGAGUUAAGGAGAAUAUACACGUAUUGAUUUUUAAAAUAGGAUAUGUCACGUAAACCAUAGAAACUGACGUGACUGCCAUCAAAGUUAAGACCUUGUGGUGAAGAACUUUCCUUCCUACGCAAGCAUCAGAUGCAACAGCUCAAAUCUGGGAGGUUCAACUUGUCUGUUGCAGCAAUUUCAAGAGAACGUGGAAGGUUCAUUUUUACGCCGAUAUGACUGAAAUUUUGAAUAGAUGUACAUGACACUUCAGAUUCAGGAUUCAACGGUGGGAUUGAGAAGUGGACGGUCAGUUUGUUAGUUAUUUGCAUCUUUAUGCAGUAUAAAACAGUGUAAUAUGUCUAACGAACUUAUUUUUACUUCUUAGGUAAGAUUAUUAUUUUGUUUAA